GACGAACGCUGGCGGCGUGCCUAAUACAUGCAAGUCGUGCGGACCUUGUUGAAAGCUUGCUUUUAAAAGGUUAGCGGCGGACGGGUGAGUAACACGUGGGCAACCUGCCUGUAAGACUGGGAUAACGCCGGGAAACCGGGGCUAAUACCAGAUCGUUUUUUCCUCCGCAUGGAGGAAAAAGGAAAGGCGGCUUCGGCUGCCACUUACAGAUGGGCCCGCGGCGCAUUAGCUAGUUGGCGGGGUAAUGGCCCACCAAGGCAACGAUGCGUAGCCGACCUGAGAGGGUGAUCGGCCACAUUGGGACUGAGACACGGCCCAAACUCCUACGGGAGGCAGCAGUAGGGAAUCUUCCGCAAGGGACGAAAGUCUGACGGAGCAACGCCGCGUGAGUGAAGAAGGCCUUCGGGUCGUAAAACUCUGUUGCCGGGGAAGAACAAGUGCCGUUCGAACAGGGCGGCGCCUUGACGGUACCCGGCCAGAAAGCCACGGCUAACUACGUG
Molecule: ribosomal RNA, 500 nt
Filed under: uncultured bacterium
Lineage: Bacteria
Description: partial 16S ribosomal RNA
Rfam family: Bacterial small subunit ribosomal RNA
Source: RNAcentral